CACAGUAUAUAUCAGUAAUUAAGCGCUGCAUUACAUAAGGUCUGCACACACAAUAAAUGUUUAUAUAUGCACUGUAUAUAUCAGUAAUUAGGUGCUGCAUUACUAAGGUCUGCACACACAAUAAAUGUUUAUAUAUGCACAGUA
Long non-coding RNA from Bombina bombina (fire-bellied toad), 144 nucleotides. RefSeq lists it as uncharacterized. The transcript has 2 exons. The record is from RefSeq and is a predicted model, not a curated record. Lineage: Eukaryota; Metazoa; Chordata; Amphibia; Anura; Bombinatoridae.